Molecule: ribosomal RNA, 458 nt
Filed under: Cryptosporidium parvum
Lineage: Eukaryota; Apicomplexa; Conoidasida; Eucoccidiorida; Cryptosporidiidae
Description: SSU rRNA
Rfam family: Eukaryotic small subunit ribosomal RNA
Source: RNAcentral
GUGACAAGAAAUAACAAUACAGGACUUUUUGGUUUUGUAAUUGGAAUGAGUUAAGUAUAAACCCCUUUACAAGUAUCAAUUGGAGGGCAAGUCUGGUGCCAGCAGCCGCGGUAAUUCCAGCUCCAAUAGCGUAUAUUAAAGUUGUUGCAGUUAAAAAGCUCGUAGUUGGAUUUCUGUUAAUAAUUUAUAUAAAAUAUUUUGAAUAUUUAUAUAACAUUAACAUAAUUCAUAUUACUAUAUUUUUUAGUAUAUGAAAUUUUACUUUAAGAAAAUUAGAGUGCUUAAAGCAGGCAUAUGCCUUGAAUACUCCAGCAUGGAAUAAUAUUAAAGAUUUUUAUCUUUCUUAUUGGUUCUAAGAUAAGAAUAAUGAUUAAUAGGGACAGUUGGGGGCAUUUGUAUUUAACAGUCAGAGGUGAAAUUCUUAGAUUUGUUAAAGACAAACUAAUGCGAAAGCAUUU